GCAUGUGUUGCAGAACUUUAAUAGGCUAUUUUCUUUAAUAGGAGAGCAUCCCUCAGUUACAAAAAUAACUUCUGCAGGGGCUGCUCUUUUUAUAGAUGACGCUAGGGUUUGUAAUUAAUACGCGUGUCCAUUUUUCGUCAUAGUGAGUCGUUGCUAGGUUUUUCCAUAAAGAUGUGUCUUUAACUUCUGGACAUCUGUUACUUCUUCCAUUUCGCAGUAUUUGCUUGUAAAGAAAACCAAUAAAGAGGCUGCCAAGCAAACAUCUUCCGUUGCCUUCUCUACUUCAUGUCUUCAACACUAUUUAAAUAGUCAUAAUUGCAAAAAAAAGCUAUCCUCUUCCUACCAUAGCAUCCGGGAAAAACUGAAUGACCAUCAUCGUCACGACGGCAUUCUGACGGGAACUAUGGUUGAGUCCUACUGGUAAUCAUCGGCCAUGGUGCUAUCCUUCCAGUACAAGGUUAUUUGAGAAUUCAUGGACUCCUAGAAUCGAUCUAAGUUCUGGUUUAGUGAAAGCAAUAAUAUAGUUGGUAGGUGCAACAUUCAGGCUGCACUGAAUUUGAUCUUCAACCUGGAAUCGUGCUAAACUUCAGUGGUAUUCAAUGAAGGCUGUUUAGAGAAAAACUUCGUCAUUUUGAAGCGUAAUCAGAUGAAGUGGACGAUUCCGGAACUUACUUCAAAACCUCCACACUUUACAGAGGAAAAGGCGGUUGAAUGGACUUUUGGUGGAAUUAAGAUCUUGAGAGAAAACCUUCCAGUCCAUUGCAGAAAAUUUUGUCACCACGGCCCAAAAAAGUAUUAUGAACAAAGUAGUUAUUAUUUAUUUAU
Argiope bruennichi is the source of this 825-nucleotide long non-coding RNA. RefSeq lists it as uncharacterized. Lineage: Eukaryota; Metazoa; Arthropoda; Arachnida; Araneae; Araneidae. The transcript is spliced from 4 exons. The record is from RefSeq and is a predicted model, not a curated record.